AAUAGAUACCCGGGUAGUCCACGCCGUAAACGAUGUCGACUUGGAGGUUGUUCCCUUGAGGAGUGGCUUCCGGAGCUAACGCGUUAAGUCGACCGCCUGGGGAGUACGGCCGCAAGGUUAAAACUCAAAAUGAAUUGACGGGGGCCCGCACAAGCGGUGGAGCAUGUGGUUUAAUUCGAUGCAACGCGAAGAACCUUACCUACUCUUGACAUCCAGAGAACUUAGCAGAGAUGCUUUGGUGCCUUCGGGAACUCUGAGACAGGUGCUGCAUGGCUGUCGUCAGCUCGUGUUGUGAAAUGUUGGGUUAAGUCCCGCAACGAGCGCAACCCUUAUCCUUUGUUGCCAGCGGUUCGCCGGGAACUCAAAGGAGACUGCCAGUGAUAAACUGGAGGAAGUGGGGAUGACGUCAAGUCAUCAUGGCCCUUACGAGUAGGGCUACACACGUGCUACAAUGGCGUAUACAAGGAGAAGCGACCUCGCGAGAGCAAGCGGACCUCAUAAAGUACGUCGUAGUCCGGAUUGGAGUCUGCAACUCGA
RNAcentral lists this ribosomal RNA (537 nucleotides) under uncultured bacterium. RNAcentral describes it as "bacterial SSU rRNA". It matches the Rfam family "Bacterial small subunit ribosomal RNA", at positions 777 to 1315 of the family's 1533-position model. The record is from RNAcentral.